This 300-nucleotide ribosomal RNA is filed under the name uncultured Caulobacteraceae bacterium. RNAcentral's name for it is "bacterial SSU rRNA". It matches the Rfam family "Bacterial small subunit ribosomal RNA", at positions 114 to 431 of the family's 1533-position model. The record is from RNAcentral. Lineage: Bacteria; Pseudomonadati; Pseudomonadota; Alphaproteobacteria; Caulobacterales; Caulobacteraceae.
CGCGUGGGAACGUGCCCAAAGGUUCGGAACAACUGAGGGAAACUUCAGCUAAUACCGGAUGUGCCCGAGAGGGGAAAGAUUCAUCGCCUUUGGAGCGGCCCGCGUCUGAUUAGCUAGUUGGUGGGGUAAAGGCCCACCAAGGCUUCGAUCAGUAGCUGGUCUGAGAGGAUGGCCAGCCACACUGGGACUGAGACACGGCCCAGACUCCUACGGGAGGCAGCAGUGGGGAAUCUUGCGCAAUGGGCGAAAGCCUGACGCAGCCAUGCCGCGUGGAUGAUGAAGGUCUUAGGAUUGUAAAAU